This 1461-nucleotide ribosomal RNA is filed under the name Rhodococcus sp. (in: high G+C Gram-positive bacteria). RNAcentral describes it as "bacterial SSU rRNA". It matches the Rfam family "Bacterial small subunit ribosomal RNA". Lineage: Bacteria; Bacillati; Actinomycetota; Actinomycetes; Mycobacteriales; Nocardiaceae. The record is from RNAcentral. RNAcentral also lists the same sequence under 1 other name.
GACGAACGCUGGCGGCGUGCUUAACACAUGCAAGUCGAGCGGUAAGGCCUUUCGGGGUACACGAGCGGCGAACGGGUGAGUAACACGUGGGUGAUCUGCCCUGCACUUCGGGAUAAGCCUGGGAAACUGGGUCUAAUACCGGAUAUGACCUUCUAAUACCGGAUAUGACCUCCGAUUGCAUGGUGGGUGGUGGAAAGAUUUAUCGGUGCAGGAUGGGCCCGCGGCCUAUCAGCUUGUUGGUGGGGUAAUGGCCUACCAAGGCGACGACGGGUAGCCGACCUGAGAGGGUGACCGGCCACACUGGGACUGAGACACGGCCCAGACUCCUACGGGAGGCAGCAGUGGGGAAUAUUGCACAAUGGGCGAAAGCCUGAUGCAGCGACGCCGCGUGAGGGAUACGGCCUUCGGGUUGUAAACCUCUUUCAGCAGGGACGAAGCGCAAGUGACGGUACCUGCAGAAGAAGCACCGGCUAACUACGUGCCAGCAGCCGCGGUAAUACGUAGGGUGCAAGCGUUGUCCGGAAUUACUGGGCGUAAAGAGUUCGUAGGCGGUUUGUCGCGUCGUUUGUGAAAACCAGCAGCUCAACUGCUGGCUUGCAGGCGAUACGGGCAGACUUGAGUACUGCAGGGGAGACUGGAAUUCCUGGUGUAGCGGUGAAAUGCGCAGAUAUCAGGAGGAACACCGGUGGCGAAGGCGGGUCUCUGGGCAGUAACUGACGCUGAGGAACGAAAGCGUUGGUAGCGAACAGGAUUAGAUACCCUGGUAGUCCACGCCCGUAAACGGUGGCCUCAGGUGUGUGGGUUCCUUCCACGGAAUCCUCCGUAGCUAACGCAUUAACGCCCCGCCUUAGGGGAGUACGGCCGCAAGGCUAAAACGCAAAGGAAUUGACGGGGGGCCCGCAACUAAGGCGCGGAGCAUGUGGAUUAAUUCGAUGCAACGCGAAGAACCUUACCUGGGUUUGACAUAUACCGGAAAGCUGCAGAGAUGUGGCCCCCCUUGUGGUCGGUAUACAGGUGGUGCAUGGCUGUCGUCAGCUCGUGUUCGUGAGAUGUUGGGUUAAGUCCCGCAACGAGCGCAACCCCUAUCUUAUGUUGCCAGCACGUUAUGGUGGGGACUCGUAAGAGACUGCCGGGGUCAACUCCGGAGGAAGGUGGGGACGACGUCAAGUCAUUAUCCCCUUAUGUCCAGGGCUUCACACAUGCUACAAUGGCAGAAAGAGGGCUGUCGAGACCGUAGGUGGAGCGAAUCCCUUAAAGCUUGUCCGCGACCCCGUGAGGUGGAGCGAAUCCCUUAAAGCUGGUCUCAGUUCGGAUCGGGGUCUGCAACCUACGACCCCGUGAAGUCGGAGUGCUAGUAAUCGCAGAUCGAAGCUGCGGUGAAACGUUCCCGGCCUUGUACACACCGCCCGUCACUUCAUAAAGUUCGGUCACCCGAAGCCGGUUGGCUUAACCCCUUGUGCG